RNAcentral lists this ribosomal RNA (301 nucleotides) under uncultured bacterium. RNAcentral describes it as "partial 16S ribosomal RNA". It matches the Rfam family "Bacterial small subunit ribosomal RNA", at positions 509 to 808 of the family's 1533-position model. The record is from RNAcentral.
CAGCAGCCACGGUAAUACGUAGGGUGCGAGCGUUAAUCGGAAUUACUGGGCGUAAAGCGUGCGCAGGCGGUUGUGUAAGACAGGUGUGAAAUCCCCGGGCUUAACCUGGGAACUGCGCUUGUGACUGCACAGCUAGAGUAUGGCAGAGGGGGGUGGAAUUCCACGUGUAGCAGUGAAAUGCGUAGAGAUGUGGAGGAACACCGAUGGCGAAGGCAGCCCCCUGGGCCAAUACUGACGCUCAUGCACGAAAGCGUGGGGAGCAAACAGGAUUAGAUACCCCAGUGUCCCUGUCUCUUAUACA